UACGAAAGGGGCUAGCGUUGUUCGGAAUUACUGGGCGUAAAGCGCGCGUAGGCGGCCUAGCAAGUUGGGGGUGAAAGCCCAGGGCUCAACCCGGGAAUUGCCUCCAAAACUGCUAAGCUCGAGGCCGAGAGAGGAGUGUGGAAUUCCUAGUGUAGAGGUGAAAUUCGUAGAUAUUAGGAAGAACACCGGUGGCGAAGGCGACACUCUGGUUCGGUACUGACGCUGAGGCGCGAAAGCGUGUGGAGCAAACAGG
RNAcentral lists this ribosomal RNA (253 nucleotides) under uncultured bacterium. RNAcentral describes it as "partial 16S ribosomal RNA". It matches the Rfam family "Bacterial small subunit ribosomal RNA", at positions 524 to 776 of the family's 1533-position model. The record is from RNAcentral.